Molecule: ribosomal RNA, 119 nt
Filed under: Salmo salar (Atlantic salmon)
Lineage: Eukaryota; Metazoa; Chordata; Actinopteri; Salmoniformes; Salmonidae
Source: RNAcentral
GCUUACGGCCAUAUCAGCCUGGGUACGCCCGAUCUUGUCUGAUCUCGGAAGCUAAGCAGGGUCGGGCCUGGUCAGUACUUGGAUGGGAGACCGCCUGGGAAUACCAGGUGCUGUAAGCA